GAUUAACGCUAGCGGCAGGCCUAAUACAUGCAAGUCGAACGGCAGCACGGGUAGCAAUACCUGGUGGCGAGUGGCGCACGGGUGCGUAACGCGUAUGCAACCUACCUAUAACCGGGGAAUAGCCUUCUGAAAGGAAGAUUAAUACCGCAUAAUAUCACUGGACGGCAUCGCCCGGUGAUCAAAACUCCGGUGGUUAUAGAUGGGCAUGCGUGACAUUAGCUAGUUGGUGAGGUAACGGCUCACUAAGGCUACGAUGUCUAGGGGGUCUGAGAGGAUGAUCCCCCACACUUGUAAUGAGACACGGACCAGACUCCUACGGGAGGCAGCAGUAAGGAAUAUUGGACAAUGGGCGCAAGCCUGAUCCAGCCAUGCCGCGUGAAGGAUGACGGCCCUCUGGGUUGUAAACUUCUUUUAUACGGGAAUAAACCCCUCGAUUCUUCGGGGGCUGAGUGUACUGUAAGAAUAAGGAUCGGCUAACUUCGUGCCAGCAGCCGCGGUAA
This 500-nucleotide ribosomal RNA is filed under the name uncultured bacterium. RNAcentral describes it as "partial 16S ribosomal RNA". It matches the Rfam family "Bacterial small subunit ribosomal RNA", at positions 28 to 523 of the family's 1533-position model. The record is from RNAcentral.